AGGGUAUGUGCUGGUUAUAAACUCUAUAUAAUUAUAAAACGCUUUUUAAGACUAAAACUAUCAACAAAAUAAUUCCUACAAUGCAGAGUACAAAAAGACCACUAGGUGCCAGUACAGUUCACAGUAACUGAUACACCAUAUGGACAAAAGAAUUGGGACACACCUUCUAAAUAUUGAAUUCAUUGACAAAGCAAUGAGUUUGGUGUGGAAGAACAGAACCCUGGCCUCAACCCCAUUGAACACCUUUGGGAUGAACUGGAACAGAGAUUGUGAGCCAGGCUUUCUCGUCCAACAUCAGUGCCUGACCUCACAAAUACUCUUCUGGAUGAAUGGGCGACAUUCCCACAUAAUCACUUUAAAAAAUGUGGAAACUGUUAUAGCUGCAAAAGUUGUACCAACUACAUAAUAAUUCCUAUGUAUUUAGAAUGCAAUGUUAUAAACGUCACUGUUGGUGUAUUGGUCAGGUGUCCCAACUUGUUUGUCGAUAUAGUGCAUUUGUGAAAUAGUAAUUGCGUGAAUUAGCACUAUUAAAAUCUCAAUUUAUAUAUACAUUUUAUAUCUCCAUGAUUUUCUUUAAUGCUGCUACUACACUUCAUAUUAGUAAUAUACAAUGAAAAGGAAAAAGAACUCAAGUUCAUACUUCGACAUAUCUGUAUUACUGUUGUUGAUCCAAAAGAUAAUGAAAACCCAAUUAGUACAGAGGUCUCAGAGUUAAUUUACUAAGGGGUCACGUGAACUGCACUUAAUGAUAGAAAAAAAGAUUCUCUAUG
This is a non-coding RNA of Pelobates cultripes (western spadefoot toad), 770 nucleotides long. The record is from the annotation of a GenBank genome assembly. NCBI's taxonomy places the organism in Eukaryota, Metazoa, Chordata, Amphibia, Anura, Pelobatidae.